This 3357-nucleotide unclassified non-coding RNA is filed under the name Hevea brasiliensis (rubber tree). The record is from RNAcentral. Lineage: Eukaryota; Viridiplantae; Streptophyta; Magnoliopsida; Malpighiales; Euphorbiaceae.
CCGGAUGAGAAAGGGCCAGGGCUCAUAUUUCGCACCCUUCAACCCUGGUUCGCCUAUAACUGGGCGUGGAGUGGCCAAAGUUGUGGAUUCAAGUCAUCCAGACUUCAAGAACGAUGACUUAGUGUGGGGAAUGACUGGAUGGGAAGAGUACAGUCUCAUAACAGCAACAGAGACUCUAUUUAAAAUUCAUGACAGAGAUGUGCCCCCUUCUUGUUAUCUUGGAAUUCUUGGUAAGCUUUUCCUUCCCUCCCCUCCACCCCCAUUCCUUUCCCUCUUUUUAUAUCACAUUUAAUUCUUGAACCUUAGAUCACGGUUGUUGGUGAUUGUUUGGAAAUGUUGACUGUUAUUCACUAGCAGACCAAAUUAUUAUGCCUGGGACCUUGAUGUGAUUAGAACUUUAUGAAUGUGGUUUGGGGACGUUGCCUUGAUUAUGAUUAUGAUAAUAUGUGUUUUAAAAGAAACAUUAGCAAACUUAUUCUGCUUUUUGUUUUCACUAAAACUUUCCUGCAUCAAGUUAGCCUGUAGGUCAUGCUAUAACUUAUGUGAGCCAGGAAAAAUGACUGCUAUUAGUAGUGGGUAAUGAUGUAGAAAUUUUUUUAGAGUUGAGACUUUGAUGGUCAUAAGUUAGCUGUAGUUAAGUCUCACUGUACACAACAACAGAUGAAAAUUUUCUAUCAGAAUUGUGAUCUUUUAUGUUUAUCUGAAAAAUGUUUUCUGGAUGAACCAAAAUCCUUACACUGUUGUUGCUGUUUGUGUGCGCUAGGCGGAGUGGGUGCUAAACUGGCGCUCUUUUUUUCCCUUGGCACUAAGCACAAAUAAUUAACUAAAUAAAAUGGCAUAAGGAAAGAAAAUAAAUUACAAUUGUUUAAGUAGAAACUCUUUACUGCAAAGGGGAAAAUUGGAAGAGAUGCUUCUAUUGGGGGAAAAGUGAGAUACUUUUUCUAUUGGGGGAAAAGUAUAUGAAGCUUUAUGCUGUAUUUAAAGUUGCAAGUGAAUUAUGUUAUGCAUAAUGAGGUUCCUAGGUACUUUGUAUCUUCUUAGAUUUGCCAUUUAGCCUCUUGUAUUGAACUAUAAUCUGGAGAGUUGGGCAGUAUUCAAUCUUCGCUUGCCCAUCUUAGUAUGUAUGAGGUGCAACAUCAAAGAUGGCAUGCUUACUGCAGCACUCUUGCUAUUAACAUUAUGAAUUCAAAUGGCCCAGAACUAAUCAAAGCCUUCACUUUAGAGGUAUAUGAUUUUUAUUAUCACACAUCUUGCUAUCUAGAUUUGCAUGACUAAACCUGAAUGCCCAUAUCUCUAGGUUUACAUGAGAAUCUACAUUCAUGAUGUGCCAUUUGCAAAAUCAAUGGCUUUUGGUCGUAUGUAAAAUAACAUUAUACCAUUGAUGGCCAGAGAGAGAAAUGUGCUUUUCUUUUACUGCAUGCAAGUCAAUUUGGUUAGCCUUGCGUUGAUAAACACUUAAGGCUGUGUUUAAGGUUUUGUAAAUUAGGUUUCCUUGGUUGUGGAUAGAUGUAUAUGCAUGCACCAUUUAUACAGAAGGGUGAUUUAUGAAUGACUGCUCCAGAACUAAGAGUAAACUAGAAUGCCACUUGAAUUACGUGGCAACAUAGAAGGAACAUUGUUGUGAGGUGUUACACAAAAGGAAGAUGUCGGAUUUACUUUUUAUUUGUUUCCUUGUUCACAUAUUAGUUCAUAACCAAUCCAGUAAGUAAAAAUUUCUUCAUAGAUAAGUUGUGUUAUACCUCUUCUGAAAGGCUACUAAGUAUCAAUUGUAGAGUCACUGUCUAAAUUCUUUUUGAAGUGCACUAUGUAUCUUGGAGCCUAGCCACCUAGCUAAGGAAAGGCCUUUAGUUCAUAUAUUUACCAAAAAAAACAUGUAUUUCUUAGCUAACUAUUGAAGACAUGAGAUAUCAAAUAAAUAAACCAUCAAUAUUGAAGAACAAAUAAAUGCACAAGAAAAAGGUCCAAUAAAUAAACCAUCAACAUUGAAUUUGCCAUAAAUUGUGGCAGAACAUUUAUUGUGGUAAUGCCUGCUGUAUUAUUUAUCUUCCCUGGUUGAAGUUCUGGAGUAAUUUUAACUGCCUAAGAGCAUUGUAUUCCAUGUAUCCUUUGCCGGUCUGAAGGUGAUGCCCCUGCCACCUAUCUCAGCCUCUAAAGGUUCAUUGCAAGUGAAGACAGAGAGUGCUCUGCAAUGAAGAGAGAGAGUGCUCUCUACCUAUAAAAUUUCCUGCCUUAUAGUGAGAGAGGAAUUUCUUCUGCCAUAUGAUCAAAGCUCAUCUAUUGAUUUUAUACUUUUUAGGUAUGCCUGGUCUGACUGCUUACGGUGGUUUUUAUGAGAUAUGCUCUCCUAAGAAAGGGGAGUUUGUCUUCGUUUCAGCAGCUUCUGGUGCUGUAGGUCAUCUUGUUGGCCAGUUUGCAAAAUUGUUAGGUUGCUAUGUUGUUGGAAGUGCUGGAAGCAAACACAAGGUUGAUCUAUUGAAGAAUAAGUUUGGUUUUGAUGAUGCUUUCAACUAUAAGGAAGAGCCGGAUUUAGAUGCUGCUUUGAAAAGGUACUUUCCUGAAGGAAUAGAUAUAUACUUCGAAAAUGUUGGAGGAAAGACGCUUGAUGCAGUGCUGCUCAACAUGAGGGUCCAUGGGCGAAUUUCUGUUUGUGGAAUGAUCUCACAAUACAACCUUGAGCAGCCUGAAGGUGUGCACAACUUGAUGCAACUCGUUGUAAAACGAAUUCGCAUGGAAGGAUUCAUGGUUCAUGAUUAUUAUCACCUAUACUCAAAAUAUCUGGAAAUGGUCUUGCCUUUAAUGAAAGAAGGGAAAAUUGUUCAUGUGGAACACGCAGCACAAGGCCUCGAGAGUGCUCCAUCAGCUCUAGUUGGGCUCUUCACAGGCUGCAAUAUUGGGAAACAGGUGAUUGCAGUUGCUUAUGAAUGAUUUACUUCGUGUGUAGCAAUUAUAAUAAACCUUAGAUAUGUCAAGUCACUUUGCAGUGUGCGUGAACUACAGUAUGGUCGCUUUGUCACAUGAAUUUCGCUUGCCUUACCAUAAAUGAGUUGUGAAGUCGAUAAAUUUUAUAUGGUUGUUUCCACACAAUUUUAUUUUACUAAAUUAAGGGUGUCAAAAACACGAAUGACAUCUUUUGCAUGUGUGAAUUGAAUUGUGAGCAUGCCAAGAACGCUUAUGAUUUUAAUUGUGAUUGUGGUUGUGCUGAUCUAAUUUCCAAUCGGAAUGAUUGGCUAGAAGCAAAGAACCGAGUUUUCCCUUGGGCUAACUGACUCCACUAGAAUGUAUUUCGCAGGGAGAAACUUGUUCAACUUUGAGAAAUUUAAGAAAUAAAUUGAUUUCUUGAAAAAUGGAUUGCAUGGG